GCCGCCUGUGGCUCUAGCACCCCCACGGGGGUCUUCGCUGCAGGCUAGCGCACCUGCGCGUCGCCUCGUCGAGCCGCACGUGCGCGUCGCCUCGUCGAGCUGCACCUGCGCGUCGCCUCGUCGAGCCGCAGGUUCAAGCCGCACCUUCGCUGCAGGCGAGCCGCAGGUUCAAGCCGCACCUUCGCUACAGGUGAGCCGCAGGUUCAAGCCGCACCUUCGCCGCAGGUUCAAGCCGCACCUUCGCUGCAGGUGAGCUGCAGGUUCAAGCCGCACCUUCGCUGCAGGCUAGCCGCAGGUUCAAGCCGUCCCUGCGCGUCUACAGAUUCG
RNAcentral lists this long non-coding RNA (327 nucleotides) under Ananas comosus (pineapple). Its description in RNAcentral is "long non-coding RNA (ACOM_LNC007268)". The record is from RNAcentral. Lineage: Eukaryota; Viridiplantae; Streptophyta; Magnoliopsida; Poales; Bromeliaceae.